Molecule: ribosomal RNA, 527 nt
Filed under: uncultured bacterium
Lineage: Bacteria
Description: bacterial SSU rRNA
Rfam family: Bacterial small subunit ribosomal RNA
Source: RNAcentral
AGAGUUUGAUCAUGGCUCAGAUUGAACGCUGGCGGCAGGCCUAACACAUGCAAGUCGAGCGGUAACAGAAAUUAGCUUGCUAAUUUGCUGACGAGCGGCGGACGGGUGAGUAAUGCCUGGGAAUAUGCCUUAGUGUGGGGGAUAACUAUUGGAAACGAUAGCUAAUACCGCAUAAUGUCUUCGGACCAAAGAGGGGGAUCUUCGGACCUCUCGCGCUAAGAUUAGCCCAGGUGAGAUUAGCUAGUUGGUGAGGUAAGAGCUCACCAAGGCGACGAUCUCUAGCUGGUCUGAGAGGAUGAUCAGCCACACUGGAACUGAGACACGGUCCAGACUCCUACGGGAGGCAGCAGUGGGGAAUAUUGCACAAUGGGCGAAAGCCUGAUGCAGCCAUGCCGCGUGUAUGAAGAAGGCCUUCGGGUUGUAAAGUACUUUCAGUAGGGAGGAAGGUGUUGUCGUUAAUAGCGGCAGCAUUUGACGUUACCUACAGAAGAAGCACCGGCUAACUCCGUGCCAGCAGCCGCGGUAAU